RNAcentral lists this ribosomal RNA (314 nucleotides) under uncultured eukaryote. Its description in RNAcentral is "partial 18S ribosomal RNA". It matches the Rfam family "Eukaryotic small subunit ribosomal RNA", at positions 1470 to 1796 of the family's 1831-position model. The record is from RNAcentral.
CCCUUAGAUGUUCUGGGCCGCACGCGCGCUACACUGAUUCAUGCAACAAGUUUUGUCCUUGGCCGACAGGCUCGGGCAAUCUUUGAACGCUGGUCGUGAUGGGGAUAGACUUUUGCAAUUUUUGGUCUUCAACGAGGAAUUCCUAGUAAACGCAAGUCAUCAACUUGCAUUGAUUACGUCCCUGCCCUUUGUACACACCGCCCGUCGCACCUACCGAUUGAAUGGUCCGGUGAAGCCUCCGGAUUGGCGCGCACCUCGGUGCCGCCGAGAAGUUGGCUAAACCUUACCAUUUAGAGGAAGGUGAAGUCGUAACA